GCAAGACCAAAGUGGGGGACCUUCGGGCCUCAUGCCAUCAGAUGUGCCCAGAUGGGAUUAGCUAGUAGGUGGGGUAACGGCUCACCUAGGCGACGAUCCCUAGCUGGUCUGAGAGGAUGACCAGCCACACUGGAACUGAGACACGGUCCAGACUCCUACGGGAGGCAGCAGUGGGGAAUAUUGCACAAUGGGCGCAAGCCUGAUGCAGCCAUGCCGCGUGUGUGAAGAAGGCCUUCGGGUUGUAAAGCACUUUCAGCGGGGAGGAAGGCGUUAAGGUUAAUAACCUUGUCGAUUGACGUUACCCGCAGAAGAAGCACCGGCUAACUCCGUGCCAGCAGCCGCGGUAAUACGGAGGGUGCAAGCGUUAAUCGGAAUUACUGGGCGUAAAGCGCACGCAGGCGGUCUGUCAAGUCGGAUGUGAAAUCCCCGGGCUCAACCUGGGAACUGCAUUCGAAACUGGCAGGCUAGAGUCUUGUAGAGGGGGGUAGAAUUCCAGGUGUAGCGGUGAAAUGCGUAGAGAUCUGGAGGAAUACCGGUGGCGAAGGCGGCCCCCUGGACAAAGAC
This 564-nucleotide ribosomal RNA is filed under the name Klebsiella pneumoniae. RNAcentral describes it as "bacterial SSU rRNA". It matches the Rfam family "Bacterial small subunit ribosomal RNA", at positions 195 to 740 of the family's 1533-position model. The record is from RNAcentral. Lineage: Bacteria; Pseudomonadati; Pseudomonadota; Gammaproteobacteria; Enterobacterales; Enterobacteriaceae.